CCUCCCCUUAAUUUCUCAUACAAAUGCUUUCCACAAUCAUCACCCUGUAGUGUAAAUCAGACUGGUGCAGAUAACAGAGUGUGGAGUCUCAGUGUUUCCACACACAUACACAAAAAACGCUGAUGAAAACGGUUGGUGCUACAGCAGAGUUCCUUGUGAACACUCAUGGCAUCAAGAAUUCCACUUAGUACAAGAAUAUUUUAGCCCAAAAUGUGGCUGUCUCUGCCAGGACGUUAAGAUCUUUCACCAAGGACGAACCCCAGGUCUCCAGGCUUGAUUUGAGAAGUAGCCUUCUGUGAGGCAGCUAGACCUGAUCUUCAUGAGUAAACAAGCAAAAAAUGAGAAAUAUGGCAGAGAUGACAUCAUUGAAUAACACCUCUCAGUUUGCAACUAUAAGACAUUAUCCUCUAAUUCUUUGUUUGGAAAAAUGAACAUUAAAGUUAAAAGUUUAAAUCUUCUGCUAUCAUUUAAAAAUAUUGUGUGUUAGUUGCAGUAAAUGAUCAAACUAUGAGAAAAAUGCUAGAAUGUGUAGGACUAAUUUGACUAGUAAUUAGACUAAUGUGCUUUGAUGCAAUAUGUGAAACACUCCUGUGUAUUUUGUUGGUUACUUGGCUCUUACGGUGGUUUGCAAAAGUAUUCAA
Ictalurus punctatus (channel catfish) is the source of this 641-nucleotide long non-coding RNA. RefSeq lists it as uncharacterized. The record is from RefSeq and is a predicted model, not a curated record. The transcript has 3 exons. Lineage: Eukaryota; Metazoa; Chordata; Actinopteri; Siluriformes; Ictaluridae.